RNAcentral lists this ribosomal RNA (254 nucleotides) under uncultured Planctomycetales bacterium. Its description in RNAcentral is "partial 16S ribosomal RNA". It matches the Rfam family "Bacterial small subunit ribosomal RNA", at positions 575 to 828 of the family's 1533-position model. Lineage: Bacteria; Pseudomonadati; Planctomycetota; Planctomycetia; Planctomycetales. The record is from RNAcentral.
GUGGGUUUGUAAGUCGGGCGUGAAAUCCCUCGGCUUAACCGAGGAACUGCGUCCGAAACUGCAUGGCUUGAGGACGGAAGGGGAAGGUGGAAUUCCUGGUGGAGCGGUGAAAUGCGUAGAUAUCAGGAGGAACGCCGGUGGCGAAAGCGGCCUUCUGGUCCGUUUCUGACGCUGGGGUGCGAAAGCUAGGGGAGCAAACAGGAUUAGAUACCCUGGUAGUCCUAGCCGUAAACGAUGGGCACUAAGUAGAGGGG